This 434-nucleotide ribosomal RNA is filed under the name uncultured Oscillospiraceae bacterium. RNAcentral describes it as "bacterial SSU rRNA". It matches the Rfam family "Bacterial small subunit ribosomal RNA", at positions 341 to 792 of the family's 1533-position model. The record is from RNAcentral. Lineage: Bacteria; Bacillati; Bacillota; Clostridia; Eubacteriales; Oscillospiraceae.
ACGGGAGGCAGCAGUGGGGAAUAUUGCACAAUGGAGGAAACUCUGAUGCAGCGACGCCGCGUGAAGGAAGAAGGUCUUCGGAUUGUAAACUUCUGUUGUCAGGGACGAUAAUGACGGUACCUGACGAGAAAGCCACGGCUAACUACGUGCCAGCAGCCGCGGUAAAACGUAGGUGGCAAGCGUUGUCCGGAAUUACUGGGUGUAAAGGGAGCGCAGGCGGAUUGGUAAGUUGGAGGUGAAAUUCAUGGGCUCAACCCAUGACCUGCCUUCAAAACUACCAGUCUUGAGUGGUGCAGAGGUAGGCGGAAUUCCCGGUGUAGCGGUGGAAUGCGUAGAUAUCGGGAGGAACACCAGUGGCGAAGGCGGCCUACUGGGCACUAACUGACGCUGAGGCUCGAAAGCAUGGGUAGCAAACAGGAUUAGAUACCCUGGUA